UACGUAGGGUGCGAGCGUUGUCCGGAAUUACUGGGCGUAAAGAGCUCGUAGGUGGUUUGUCGCGUUGUUCGUGAAAACCGGGGGCUUAACCCUCGGCGUGCGGGCGAUACGGGCAGACCUGAGUACUGCAGGGGAGACUGGAAUUCCUGGUGUAGCGGUGGAAUGCGCAGAUAUCAGGAGGAACACCGGUGGCGAAGGCGGGUCUCUGGGCAGUAACUGACGCUGAGGAGCGAAAGCGUGGGGAGCGAACAGG
This 253-nucleotide ribosomal RNA is filed under the name uncultured bacterium. Its description in RNAcentral is "partial 16S ribosomal RNA". It matches the Rfam family "Bacterial small subunit ribosomal RNA", at positions 524 to 776 of the family's 1533-position model. The record is from RNAcentral.